AAUGCAUCGGAACGUGCCCAGUCGUGGGGGAUAACGCAGCGAAAGCUGCGCUAAUACCGCAUACGAUCUGUGGAUGAAAGCGGGGGACCGUAAGGCCUCGCGCGAUUGGAGCGGCCGAUGUCAGAUUAGGUAGUUGGUGGGGUAAAGGCUCACCAAGCCAACGAUCUGUAGCUGGUCUGAGAGGACGACCAGCCACACUGGGACUGAGACACGGCCCAGACUCCUACGGGAGGCAGCAGUGGGGAAUUUUGGACAAUGGGCGCAAGCCUGAUCCAGCAAUGCCGCGUGCAGGAAGAAGGCCUUCGGGUUGUAAACUGCUUUUGUACGGAACGAAAAGGCUCUGGUUAAUACCUGGGGCACAUGACGGUACCGUAAGAAUAAGCACCGGCUAACUACGUGCCAGCAGCCGCGGUAAUACGUAGGGUGCAAGCGUUAAUCGGAAUUACUGGGCGUAAAGCGUGCGCAGGCGGUUUUGUAAGACAGGCGUGAAAUCCCCGGGCUUAACCUGGGAAUUGCGCUUGUGACUGCAAGGCUGGAGUGCGGCAGAGGGGGAUGGAAUUCCGCGUGUAGCAGUGAAAUGCGUAGAUAUGCGGAGG
RNAcentral lists this ribosomal RNA (596 nucleotides) under uncultured bacterium. RNAcentral describes it as "bacterial SSU rRNA". It matches the Rfam family "Bacterial small subunit ribosomal RNA", at positions 112 to 704 of the family's 1533-position model. The record is from RNAcentral.